RNAcentral lists this long non-coding RNA (1732 nucleotides) under Sus scrofa (pig). RNAcentral describes it as "lncRNA (ENSSSCG00030052970.1)". The record is from RNAcentral. Lineage: Eukaryota; Metazoa; Chordata; Mammalia; Artiodactyla; Suidae.
GGGCGCGGGAGGGAGCGGCCCCGCGGGGCUGGCGAGGUGGGAGCGGGGAGCAGCUGGCCGGGGUGCGCUGGGGGAUCCGAAGGCUGUUUUUCCUCUCGUUUUAAUUGGUCUUUGUGACUCUAAUGGUGCCCACUUCACCUCGUGGCUGCGUGCUGGCCGGGGGCUCCCACGGCGCACCCCGUUGGAGGCUUUGGGGAGGCGCCCGGCAGCUGUUGCCGCCUCACCGAUGCUCCUGGUGGUGCUGGGCCUGGAAGGGCCUGGGAAACAAAGCUCAGGGUGCCAUGGGGUUGGGGAGCCCUGGCUUCCAGAGCAGGCCCCGUCAUGCCACCUUCACCGCAGCGUCACCCGAGCAGCCGCUUUUCCUAAGACCGGAUGACGGGAGAAACGCUGGCAAGUAAGAUUGAUUGGAGACGUGAGCCCAGCAGGGACCCCUCUCCUCUCUCAGGAAUAGGCUUUGGAAGCCUCAUUGCCUUAGUUCCGCCCGGCUAAGAGUCACUCGCUGAACACGGAGCACCUGGGCUGAGUGGUUUGGGUCCGGGCUCUGGGGCCCCACGUGCCCGGCUCUGCAUUGCCACUGUGUGACCUUGGAGAGUGGGCUUGACUUCGCUGAACCUGCCUCCUGCAGAAUGUAGCAGUGGCACUUGAAGGGCCGCUUCGAGGAUCCGAUGGUGACAACACGUGGAAAGACAGAAAAGUGGGCCACGAUGCUGCAGGUCUGUUUUCUGUCCCUCUGUCUUCGCCUUUGCUGGACGUCGUAGGAGGCUUUCAGCAGGAAAGGUCUGGCUUGCCGGUCUGGCUCCCUUCUCUCAGCGCGCAGUUGUGGGUGCCUGUGUUGUGGUCGGGAGUGGGGUCCCGUUGUCAGGAUGCAUCCCACCUGGCGUGUCCCCUCCCAUCAGCGGAUGGCGGCGGCGGCGGCGGCGGGGGGUGGGGGGGUUACUUUGAGUGUUUUAAUUCUUCCCCAGCCGUCUUCAUCCGCUUGGGCUGUUGUCACAAUGCCAUGUCCGGGGGGGCGGGGUGGGGGGCUCAGAUAACAGACGCUUAUUGCUCACGGUUUGGGAGGCUGGAAGCUCGAGAUCAGGUGCCAGCACACUGGGUUGCUGGGGGUGGGGUGCGCCUCCUUGCCGAGUCCUCACGUGGCUGCUUCUUUGUGCCCUUAUGGAGAGACCAUUGGCCUGUGUGAGCUCUUCGAGGGCACCGAUCCCGUCGGGUGAGCCCCAUUCGUGGGACCUCAUCUAACCUACCACCUUCCAAAUGCCCCCCCUCCAAAGACCAGGGCACGGGGCGGGGGGGAUAGGGCUUCACCGGCCCAGCAGGGGCACAAACACUCAGUCUGCAACAGCAUCUCACGACGCUCUUGUGAAGCUUGUGGUGUCAUUGUCGCGUCUGGUGGCUGAUGACAUGGGAGCCCUGGGCUGGUGCUGCCAGCCGCCUUCCUGCAGGCCAUGCAGCCCACGAGGCCAUGGAAGAGGCCCUCCCUGCCUGCCUUUCUCCCCCUUUGGGGUCCCUGCGAGACCGGGGCCCACGUGCCCUAAGGAAGACGAGUGCGCGCCCGCGGACCCGUCUCCCAGCACCAGGUCCGACCUUGGCGGCAGAUGCCUCUUUGUCCGCGCCGAGCCCCAUGGCCAGCUCGAAUAAUUGGAUUUUAAUAAAACGGAUGGGAGCGCGGGAGCAGUUCACCACCCUGGCCUGUGCCGAGGCCCUGCAAUUAAACCGAUUAUGUCUUGAGAGUCAA